RNAcentral lists this long non-coding RNA (824 nucleotides) under Hordeum vulgare. RNAcentral's name for it is "long non-coding RNA (HVUL_LNC010207)". The record is from RNAcentral. Lineage: Eukaryota; Viridiplantae; Streptophyta; Magnoliopsida; Poales; Poaceae.
UGCAAACAACACAAAUAUAUGUAAUUAAAGUGCAAACAAGAUCACAAAGUAUUACAAAUCAUCACAAGUGCAUCCACAAAUACAAUUGUAUUACAAAGUUCAUCUAAGACUACACAAGUGCAUUACAAAGUCCCUCGACCAUCCAUCCAUAUGCCAUGCUGCUUUAUCAAAAUCUGCAUAAUGAGAAAGAAGUUAGAAGAAGAAUACAAUAAGAAGGAAGUUAUCUAAUUUAAGCUAAGCAAUUAGAAGAAGAAGUGGAAGAAGAAGAAGAAGAAGAACAAGAACAAGAACAAGAACAAGAAGUGGAAGAAGUGGAAGAAGAAGAAGAAGAAGAAGAUAGAGAAAAAGAAAGAAGAGAAGUUAUCUUUUUCUCCUCUUUCUUCUUCUCUUAUUUCUUCAUCUCUUGUUUGUUCUUCUCUUCUGGUUUCUUUUAAAACUUUCUAAACUAAUUAUGUCAUUAUUGAGCUCUAAUAUCAACUAGAAUUUACUAAGCUAAGUAAACCAUGGCUAAUAUCAACUAGAAUUUACUAAGCUAACUAAAGCCUGGCAUAAUCUAAGUUGAUCUAAACAAUAAGAAGAAUAAGAAGGAGAGGAAUAACUUACCUAAUGCCAACAAACCGAGGAGAAGCUGCAUCUCCGUUGGUCGCUGGGUUGCUAGGGCUCUCACCAGGAGAAGUAAAGGGAUCGUGGGAUUCAACUCUGGAAUGAUGCUGCAACAAGGCAAGAGUUAAAAUAUGUGGUUAGCACGGCGACAAACAAUGGUAUAAGACCGUGCAAGGUUGGUCAUUGAAAGGGAACUCACCGUUCCCACCGGAGAAGGCAUC